RNAcentral lists this ribosomal RNA (233 nucleotides) under uncultured bacterium. RNAcentral's name for it is "partial 16S ribosomal RNA". It matches the Rfam family "Bacterial small subunit ribosomal RNA", at positions 104 to 334 of the family's 1533-position model. The record is from RNAcentral.
CGGACGGGGUGAGUAAUGUCUGGGAAACUGCCCGAUGGAGGGGGAUAACUACUGGAAACGGUAGCUAAUACCGCAUAACGUCGCAAGACCAAAGAGGGGGACCUUAGGGCCUCUUGCCAUCGGAUGUGCCCAGAUGGGAUUAGCUAGUAGGUGGGGUAAUGGCUCACCUAGGCGACGAUCCCUAGCUGGUCUGAGAGGAUGACCAGCCACACUGGAACUGAAACACGGUCCAG